CGGAGGAACAUGGACGUGGCUCU
Molecule: non-coding RNA, 23 nt
Filed under: Cricetulus griseus (Chinese hamster)
Lineage: Eukaryota; Metazoa; Chordata; Mammalia; Rodentia; Cricetidae
Source: RNAcentral